This 370-nucleotide ribosomal RNA is filed under the name uncultured Psychrobacter sp. RNAcentral describes it as "bacterial SSU rRNA". It matches the Rfam family "Bacterial small subunit ribosomal RNA", at positions 538 to 907 of the family's 1533-position model. The record is from RNAcentral. Lineage: Bacteria; Pseudomonadati; Pseudomonadota; Gammaproteobacteria; Moraxellales; Moraxellaceae.
GCGUUAAUCGGAAUUACUGGGCGUAAAGCGAGCGUAGGUGGCUUGAUAAGUCAGAUGUGAAANCCCCGGGCUUAACCUGGGAACNGCAUCUGAUACUGUNAGNCUAGAGUAGGUGAGAGGAAGGUAGAAUUCCAGGUGUAGCGGUGAAAUGCGUAGAGAUCUGGAGGAAUACCGAUGGCGAAGGCAGCCUUCUGGCAUCAUACUGACACUGAGGNUCGAAAGCGUGGGUAGCAAACAGGAUUAGAUACCCUGGUAGUCCACGCCGUAAACGAUGUCUACUAGUCGUUGGGUCCCUUGAGGACUUAGUGACGCAGCUAACGCAAUAAGUAGACCGCCUGGGGAGUACGGCCGCAAGGUUAAAACUCAAAGG